CUCUGUGGCUCAGUUGGUAGAGCGUGGCGCUUGCAUCGCCUGGAUUGUGGGUUCAAUUCCCGCUGGGG
Molecule: transfer RNA, 68 nt
Filed under: Salmo salar (Atlantic salmon)
Lineage: Eukaryota; Metazoa; Chordata; Actinopteri; Salmoniformes; Salmonidae
Rfam family: tRNA
About the family: Transfer RNA (tRNA) molecules are approximately 80 nucleotides in length.
Source: Rfam by way of RNAcentral